CAGUAGCCGCGGUAAUACGUAGGUGGCAAGCGUUGUCCGGAAUUAUUGGGCGUAAAGGGCUCGCAGGCGGUUUCUUAAGUCUGAUGUGAAAGCCCCCGGCUCAACCGGGGAGGGUCAUUGGAAACUGGGAAACUUGAGUGCAGAAGAGGAGAAUGGAAUUCCACGUGUAGCGGUGAAAUGCGUAGAGAUGUGGAGGAACACCAGUGGCGAAGGCGACUCUCUGGUCUGUAACUGACGCUGAGGAGCGAAAGCGUGGGGAGCGAACAGGAUUAGAUACCCCGGUAGUCCCUGUCUCUUAUAC
Molecule: ribosomal RNA, 301 nt
Filed under: uncultured bacterium
Lineage: Bacteria
Description: partial 16S ribosomal RNA
Rfam family: Bacterial small subunit ribosomal RNA
Source: RNAcentral